This is a long non-coding RNA of Misgurnus anguillicaudatus (oriental weatherfish), 630 nucleotides long. RefSeq lists it as uncharacterized. The record is from RefSeq and is a predicted model, not a curated record. NCBI's taxonomy places the organism in Eukaryota, Metazoa, Chordata, Actinopteri, Cypriniformes, Cobitidae.
GGGGAUUGGCUCCCCGCUUUUGGCAUGCGUUAAAAAUGUUGAUGACUUGCCAGUGUAAAAGUUUUAGCUUUAGUACCGAACUCUUCCCAGACCUCCACAGCCUGAGAAACGUCCAGAUCAAAGUCUGAGUCUGUGGGUGGAUUUACCAGAGGGAAGUCUCGAUGUUUAAUAGGACACCCAGCAAGGAUAAUGAUGGCCUUCUGUGUGAGCAAACACGUCUGUGUGCUGAAGAUUGAGAUUGACAACAGAUUGAGAUGGACCGAAGGAGAGAUCUGGAGGAGAUGGACAGAUUUUAGAGGAUGAUUCAGUGCCGGCCACCAAUUGUGCAGAACCGCUGUUGAUAUGGCGGUAUAAAAUGAAUGAUGCAAUUUAGGUUCAUUGCAAUCUCAAUUUCAUUCCACAAAGAAAACAAAAAAGUACAGAAAGCAUGUUUACAAAGAUAAUUCAAAACACAGAAAACUGGUAUUGUGUGGUAUUGGUUUUCACCAAAGGAUGCUGGUGUCACCAGGCAUCCUGACUAGCUUAAAGGUGUAGUGUGUAUUUUUUAAAAAGAUCUCUUGACAGAAAUGCAAAAUAAUAUACAAAACUAUAUUAAAGACCUUUUUAUAAUGAACCAUUGUGUUUUUAUUA